AUAUAGUAAUAAAGUUAUUGUAAUAAAUAUAUUACUAUUUUUAGGUUUUAUUCUAUUCUAAUGGGGGGGAAAUUUCAACUUUAAAAUGGAUUACAGUUGUUGUGGUAUCUACAAAUUCCGAAAACCACUAACAGCACAUGAGCUCUGAAUACAUGUGCCGAUAAAUGGGAAUAAAAAAGGUGAAUUUCUAACAGAGUUACUAAAUUAAUAAUAAAUUCCUUAUCUCGCAACAGUAUUUAGCUUUAUAUAUUUUUAUAUACCGUUGUUAUAUAAUUGUCACACUAAGUCACUUGCUUGCAAUCAUUAUGGUAGGUACCUAACUUAAAUUUAAAGAAAAACGCGCAUGCGCCGUCGGAAGAAUAAAAAGAACCGCCGGCGGUUUUAGAAUUGUAUUCGUUAUUUAAAUUAAGAAAAAAAUACUUUGAAGCACACUAAAGUAUUUCACGAAAUACUGAAAAUUAAGAAUAUCAUUUUUGGUUUAUUUGCUGUUUUUUUAGGUUCGUAGAAAAUGUUGUAUGUAUGUGUUUAAUAGGUUCAUUAUUAUAAGCUUGUAAUCAUUUACAAAUUCAUGAGUGCAACAAUGCAUCUCCUAAUCAAUGUUUUUAUUAAAAUCAUAAUCUCAAACAACAAUAGGUUUGUUUAUAAUCUAACAAAAAAAUUCUCACUAGCCACGCCAUUUAAAAAUAUAGCUUCUGUAUUUGUUUGAGCGAGAGAUUCUUGCUCCAUAGCAUAAUGUCUUAUUGGAUGGUGAUAAUAUUACUAAAUUUCUCUAGUCGGUUUGAGAAAACAAAAGCACUUUCCAAAACAAAACAUCUCGUGAAGUGAACUUAGCUUUAGAUAGGUAGGUAUAUCGAGGUGGCGUCCUUCUGACAACAUUCGUUUAUUUCACACAAAACUUGCACUAAAAUGGUUAAAUUACAUCCAACAAAAACGAAACACGCAUUAAAUCACUGGUUUCAACCAAAAUAAACAAUGGAAAACUGUUUAAAACGUGAAAAACACACAAAAACAAUGCCGCGAAACAUACUCGCUUUGCAUUAAUGUAGGUAGAGGGCAGCAGUGUCGCUGGGUUCAAUAUGGCGAUGUUUUACGACGCCGUGGUUGGUCGAUGAGAGCAUUCAUAUGAAGUUGGCUUGGGUGAGCGAACGAGAGAGAUUUAUGUGAACUGUUCGCGUCAAUGAAAGACGGAAGAUGUUUUUGAGCGGGAGUACAUUUGUAUGCUGUCGGUAUGUCCGACCGGUUUUGUCAGAGGCGUUCACGGAACGUAUGUGCCGCUUUCUAUGUGACGAGGAUGAGGGCAGGUAUAAUGUUACUACUACAUUGGGUAAUAAUCAAGAGGAAUGGUAAAAAUUAAUGAAUGACGAAAAAUUGUUGGUAACAAAAUCUUUAAAUAAACAAUGACCUUAAUUGAAAAUAAAUGCUAAAUAAA
This is a long non-coding RNA of Bombyx mori (domestic silkworm), 1429 nucleotides long. RefSeq lists it as uncharacterized. The record is from RefSeq and is a predicted model, not a curated record. Lineage: Eukaryota; Metazoa; Arthropoda; Insecta; Lepidoptera; Bombycidae. The transcript is spliced from 2 exons.